Non-coding RNA from Electrophorus electricus (electric eel), 454 nucleotides. NCBI's taxonomy places the organism in Eukaryota, Metazoa, Chordata, Actinopteri, Gymnotiformes, Gymnotidae. The record is from the annotation of a RefSeq genome assembly.
CAUGAUGAGAAUCAUUGUAAUUGUAAUCAAGACAGUGUACUUGAUGAAAGGUGUUGUAGGUGCAAAUGAUGUCAAUCAGCCUGAUGUACUCUGGGCUGAAAUUGGAAAAUCUGCCACAAUUAACUGCAGUCAUACCAAGGGUGCAAUUUACAUUCAGAUGUACUGGUACCGCCAGCACCAAGGAGAAACUAUGAAGCUCAUUGUCUUCACAUCCAGCUAUGGCAAAAAGCCAGAGUUUGGAAAUGAAUUUAGUGAGAGUAAAUUCUUAGCCAAUAAAACAGUCCCUGAGAGUGGGUCCCUUACUGUAAAAGAUCUGGAUAUUACUGACAGUGCAGUGUAUUUUUGCGCUGUGAGCCAACACAGUGUUAUAACUUUAGGGCAGCGCUGUACAAAAACACCCUGUGUGCAUGCAUGUCUUGGAGAACAGCCAAUAGAGGCAUUGUGGUAUAUAUAA